GCUUAGUAUGUUGGAAUAGCUCAGCCAGUAGAGCAUGAGACUCUUAAUCUCAGCGUCGUGGGUUCAAGCCCCAUGUUGGGCA
Molecule: non-coding RNA, 82 nt
Organism: Podarcis lilfordi (Lilford's wall lizard)
Lineage: Eukaryota; Metazoa; Chordata; Lepidosauria; Squamata; Lacertidae
Source: the annotation of a GenBank genome assembly